GUUUUGUCAACCGCCAAUAAACCCAAGAAGAAGAAGGAGAAGAAGAGGCAGCCAGUCAAAUGCUUUACUAGUUUCGUUUCUGAGGCUUUGUGUAUAUCUGCUUUCUCUGGGGAUUUUUAGGUUUACAACACCGACACAUUAGACACUAAUGAUUCCUGUGUCCCGUGUGUUGCUGAGGAGUGCUGUUAUUUCAAGUGACCAGACUUUUCGACGAGGAAUGAGGUCGAGAGACAUAUCUACAGACCAGAAAAUGACAGGCUUUAUCAUAUCAGUCAUGUUGUCCUUCUGAAAAGUUACAACCACUUACACAGAACACACUAGCAGAUGACGUUACACAGCUGGAACUGGAGCAAAAAUAUUGAGCUGUCAACAUUUGUCUGAUCUUUAGAAUUAUCAUUGGAAACAUAAGAUGCAGCGAUUAUUCCCUUCUAACAAAGCAAGCCACAAUGAGCUUGUUUUUUCACAAGCAUGCUGAGAAAGGCCUACCAAAAGAACCGGGUUGUUGCACCCAUUCAUUGCUAAUGUGUUCCUUGACAUCACCACCAUCCUGCAAUGUACAGGAACUGGAGGACUGGUUGUUGACAAUAUGAUACCAGAUAUACCAGGAGAGCAAUCUCCUCGUCAUUGAAUAAAUGCCUUGUAACAUGGCUGCUGUUCUGCAGGCUAGAGGAGGUCCUACAGGUUAUUAGGUGGGAAGUCAUAAUGGAAUAGCCCAUCUUUAUGUCUAAUAAAAUAUAUAAUAAAAAUGUAAUUGCGACUUUAUCUCAUAGCCAGAUAGCCAGAUAUACCAGAUUUUUUACAUCAGUUAAACCUUUUUGACCUAAUAUGUUUACUUGAAGUAAACCCAAAGAUUUUCUGUCAAUAAUUGAGGUAAAUAAAACUCAUUUUAUUAACAACAACAAUAAAUAUCAAAUUGAAGAAAAAGGUCUUCUUUUGUCAGAAUUGUACUUUAUAGCUUGCAACUAUUAGAAAAAAAGUAAGAAUUCGGAGAUAAUAUAAAAAUACAAAUAUAUAAAGUCACAAUUAUCUUUAUGUUUAAUUAUUAUUAUUAUUUGAUGUGGGAGAAAUAAGCUUCCAACAGUAGGGUUUCUAGAAUAAUCCUAAUCGUAAACAAAAAUGUUCCAGCAGUCUCAUUAUGGGUACUAGUAAUCAGGUACUACCCAGCUCUGUAUAUGACUGAGAAACGCAGCAUCAUAGCGCACCCUUUUGUGUAAAAGUGAUCUAUUGGAACAAGAUGAUUUACUGAACAGUAGAGAGCAAUGAUGCCCUUGUUUUGAAUUUGCCAAUUUCCUCAUUAUACAGGAGCACAGAGAGCAGUGAAGGGUGGGAUCAGUAUUGAAUAAAGGUUAUGAUUGGGUUGACAUGUUUGUCACACCCACCAAACAUGAGAAAACAUAUCUCAAACUGCGUUGCAGAGGUUGCAAACCAUUUUCAGGAAACAUGUCGUUCUACCAGGAAACCGUUGUUCACCAGUUUGAGCUUGAACUUGCCCUAGAUAAACAUAUGCUGUCCUACAGCAGAUGCAGCAAAUCACGACUGCAACUAUAAUUAACAGAGAUCCAGCAACCGCAACAGAGAUCACCACUAUCAGAGAUGACGAGUCUGGAAGAACAAAAGAAGGAGAGUGAAGGACAAACAGCCAUGAAGUAAAUCGGAGAGAGUCACAUGACCCACAUUCACCACUGAACACAACAGUGAACAAUUCUGCUGUGAUGAUGAAGAUGAUGAUGAACAUUGUGAAGAGUUACUGAUGAUGACAGGAACAGGAAGACGAGCUGAAAAACCGAAUAAAAAGGAAUACUGAUAAAUUGCAGAACUAUUUUUUUUCAGUUGUUGAGAGUGUUGACUGUCAGUGAGUGUUUCCAUUAUCUCAAAGUACAGAAUAUAUUUUAAUAUACUUAUAUAAUUUAUAAUUAAUGCUUAGUUGAAUUUUCAGCAACAUUACUCCAGCCUACAUUGAGGUCUGAGUGCAUUCGGGCCAUUUU
This is a long non-coding RNA of Carassius auratus (goldfish), 1985 nucleotides long. RefSeq lists it as uncharacterized. The transcript has 7 exons. Lineage: Eukaryota; Metazoa; Chordata; Actinopteri; Cypriniformes; Cyprinidae. The record is from RefSeq and is a predicted model, not a curated record.